RNAcentral lists this long non-coding RNA (1033 nucleotides) under Cyanistes caeruleus (blue tit). Its description in RNAcentral is "lncRNA (ENSCCEG00000021884.1)". The record is from RNAcentral. Lineage: Eukaryota; Metazoa; Chordata; Aves; Passeriformes; Paridae.
CCGGGAUUCCCGGGAACGCGGCCGGGAUUCCCGGGAACACGGCCGGGAUCCCGGGAAAGCGGCCGGGAUUCCCGGGAAAGCGGCCGGGAUUCCCGGGCACACGGCCGGGAUUCCCGGGAAAGCGGCCGGGAUUCCCGGGAAAGCGGCCGGGAUGAUCCCAGGGUGAUCCCAGGAGGGUCCCAGGGUGACCCCGGGAUUCCCGGGAAUGCCGCCGGGAUGGUCCCAGGGUGAUCCCGGGAGGGUCCCAGGGUGAUCCCGGGAUGGUCCCAGGGUGAUCCCAGGGUGAUCCCGGGAUGGUCCCAGGGUGAUCCCAGGGUGAUCCCGGGAGGGUCCCAGGGUGAUCCCGGGAUGGUCCCAGGGUGAUCCCAGGAUGAUCCCAGGGUGAUCCCAGGGUGAUCCCGGGAGGGUCCCAGGGUGAUCCCAGGGUGAUCCCAGGGUGAUCCCGGGAUGAUCCUGGGAUGAUCCCAGGGUGAUCCCAGGGUGAUCCCAGGGUGAUCCCGGGAUUCCCCCAGGUGAACGAGCUGCAGAACCUGACGGCCGCCGAGGUUGUGGUGCCGCGGGAGCAGAGCCCGGACGAGAACGAGCAGGUGAUCGUCAAAAUCAUCGGGCACUUCUACGCCAGCCAGAUGGCUCAGCGCAAGAUCCGGGACAUCCUGGCGCAGGUGAAGCAGCAGCAGCAGAAGGGCCAGAGCCAAUCCCGGAGGAAAUAGGGAACCCCCGGAUCCCAAAUCCCGGGAAAAACCAGGACACGGCGCAGCCAGGCCGGGCUCCGAGUGCCGGGGAAUCAGCAACUGCAGGGAGACAGGGAUCGGGAAUGAGCUGGGAUCGGGAAUCACUUCCACAGGGAUCGGGAAUGAGCUGGGAUCGGGAAUCACUUCCACAGGGAUCGGGAAUGAGCAGGGAUCAGGAAUCACUUCCAAUGAGCUGGGAUCGGGAAUGACUUCCACAGGGAUCGGGAAUCACUUCCACAGGAAUCGGGAAUGAGCUGGGAUCGGGAAUGAGCUGGGAUCGGGAAUCAUUUCCACAGGGAUCG